This 200-nucleotide ribosomal RNA is filed under the name uncultured bacterium. Its description in RNAcentral is "partial 16S ribosomal RNA". It matches the Rfam family "Bacterial small subunit ribosomal RNA", at positions 32 to 223 of the family's 1533-position model. The record is from RNAcentral.
AAUCAACGCUGGCGGCGUGCCUCAGACGUGCAAGUCGAGCGAUUAAAGCCCUCUUCGGAGGGUGCAUAAAGUGGCGCACGGGUGAGUAACACGUAAGUAAUCUACCUUCGAGUGGGGAAUAACGUUCGGAAACGAACGCUAAUACCGCAUAAUGCAGCGGCAUCGCAAGAUGACAGUUGUUAAAGGAUUAAUCGCUUGAA